CUUUUAAAACUCCUAACAAAACCCCCAAACAUAUGCGUAGUUUCUAAUCUAAUAGUUCAAAGCAAACACGAAUCUCUUUUGCUGUUUUUCGAAGACCCCACAAAUACGUCUUAAGAAUGAGUCCUACAAGGGAGUAGCAACGUAACAUCUUAUUUGGCAAUCGAGCUGGGGAAGAACAGCAGAACGGAAAGAAACGAAUUUUACUGUGUUCUCGGUCUUCUUCGCUCUUCGGUCUUCACCUGAGUAUUUCUCGAACCGUGAUUUCCUUCCUGUAAUUGUGUUUUGCUUCGAAAACAAGCUCGGUUGUGUUUAGCUCAUCAGAAACAGUAAUUCCGUCUCGGGAAUAGUGCUGUUCGUCUCUGAAAUUUCGUGAAUUUUGCGGUCCGAUUGAAGGUCGGAGAAGAAUAUCUCCGAUCCGAGCAAUGAUAACCCGGUCCAAGCUCGUUGAGCAACUCAGAGACCACCAGAUCCGUUCCCAACGCAAGUGUCCGGCUCUUACUGUCUUCUCCCCCAAACCCCAUUUCACUUCCUGGGUUGAUGUCACCGUGGCAAUCUUUUGGGCUCUAAUGUUUAGCAUGCUAGUCGUGUCAUCCUAUUUGUCCCUUUACUUAGGCCACAUUCGGAUUUCUUUUGUGGUAAUCUGCAUUGGUAUCUUUCUUCCUGUACGCCUAAGAAAAUCUAGGCAGUCCCUGGCCAGGAAGAAGGAGAGAAGACUGCUGUUACCAUUGUCUAUGUGAACAUCUGUGGCAGAGAAACUGUGCAGCCGUGUACGCCUCACUGCCCCUUUUGAGAUUAGAUGCAUACACAAAGGCAUGAAAAUAUUCCAAACACCAUUUCUUGAUCAAUGUAAACAGCAUAGGUUUUUUAACCUAGAGAAAAUGCAACUUCCUAUUAAUUUUCCCUUCAUGGGCUUGUAGAUUCAGUUGGGUUUCAGAAAUAUCUGUACUCAAAUAUUGUGCAGUUAAAGUGGUUGCAUAUUUAGAAGUUGAGGACACAGCCUCUAGACACGAGAGGUGAUACCAGCUUACAAAUGAAUAGUUGGCACUUUGAAUUUUUUAUGCA
This is a long non-coding RNA of Juglans microcarpa x Juglans regia, 1062 nucleotides long. RefSeq lists it as uncharacterized. The transcript has 2 exons. NCBI's taxonomy places the organism in Eukaryota, Viridiplantae, Streptophyta, Magnoliopsida, Fagales, Juglandaceae. The record is from RefSeq and is a predicted model, not a curated record.